RNAcentral lists this ribosomal RNA (1103 nucleotides) under Candidatus Phytoplasma fraxini. RNAcentral describes it as "bacterial SSU rRNA". It matches the Rfam family "Bacterial small subunit ribosomal RNA", at positions 217 to 1326 of the family's 1533-position model. The record is from RNAcentral. Lineage: Bacteria; Bacillati; Mycoplasmatota; Mollicutes; Acholeplasmatales; Acholeplasmataceae.
GCUUAAAGAUGAGCUUGCGCCACAUUAGUUUGUUGGUGGGGUAAUGGCCUACCAAGACGAUGAUGUGUAGCUGGACUGAGAGGUCGAACAGCCACAUUGGGACUGAGACACGGCCCAAACUCCUACGGGAGGCAGCAGUAGGGAAUUUUCGGCAAUGGAGGAAACUCUGACCGAGCAACGCCGCGUGAACGAUGAAGUAUUUCGGUAUGUAAAGUUCUUUUAUUGAAGAAGAAAAAAUAGUGGAAAAACUAUCUUGACGUUAUUCAAUGAAUAAGCCCCGGCUAACUAUGUGCCAGCAGCCGCGGUAAGACAUAGGGGGCGAGCGUUAUCCGGAAUUAUUGGGCGUAAAGGGUGCGUAGGCGGUUAGGAAAGUCUAUAAUUUAAUUUCAGUGCUUAACGCUGUCUUGUUAUAGAAACUACCUUGACUAGAGUUAGAUAGAGGCAAGCGGAAUUCCAUGUGUAGCGGUAAAAUGUGUAAAUAUAUGGAGGAACACCAGAAGCGUAGGCGGCUUGCUGGGUCUUGACUGACGCUGAGGCACGAAAGCGUGGGUAGCAAACAGGAUUAGAUACCCUGGUAGUCCACGCCGUAAACGAUGAGUACUAAGUGUCGGGAUAAAACUCGGUACUGAAGUUAACACAUUAAGUACUCCGCCUGAGUAGUACGUACGCAAGUAUGAAACUUAAAGGAAUUGACGGGACUCCGCACAAGCGGUGGAUCAUGUUGUUUAAUUCGAAGAUACACGAAAAAUCUUACCAGGUCUUGACAUGCUCUGCAAAGCUAUAGAAAUAUAGUGGAGGUUAUCAGGGACACAGGUGGUGCAUGGUUGUCGUCAGUUCGUGUCGUGAGAUGUUAGGUUAAGUCCUAAAACGAGCGCAACCCUUGUCGUUAGUUACCAGCACGUAAUGGUGGGCACUUUAACGAGACUGCCAAUUAAACAUUGGAGGAAGGUGAGGAUUACGUCAAAUCAUCAUGCCCCUUAUGAUCUGGGCUACAAACGUGAUACAAUGGCUGUUACAAAGAGUAGCUGAAGCGCUAGUUUUUAGCCAAUCUCAAAAAAGCAGUCUCAGUUCGGAUUGAAGUCUGUAACUCGACUUCAUGAAGU